AAGACUAUGUCGUGGGCGCGGAGCCGACUGUGCUCGACUCUGUCCCUGGCAGCUGUUUCUGCGCGUGGUGCAACGACGGAGGGCGCGGCGCGGCGGGGGAUGAGCGCGUGGCCAGCGCCACAGGAGCCGGGCAUGGAGUAUCAGGAUGCUGUGCGCACGCUCAACACCCUGCAAACCAAUGCCAGCUACCUGGAGCAGGUAAAGCGCCAACGGAGUGACCCCCAGGCGCAGCUGGAGGCUAUGGAGAUGUACCUGGCACGGAGUGGACUGCAGGUGGAGGACUUGAACCGGCUAAACAUUAUUCAUGUCACUGGGACCAAAGGGAAGGGCUCCACCUGUGCCUUCACCGAACGGAUCCUGCGGAAUUACGGCCUGAAGACCGGCUUCUUUAGCUCUCCUCACAUGGUGCAGGUGCGGGAGCGGAUUCGAAUCAACGGGAAACCAAUCAGCCCCGAGCUCUUCACCAAGCACUUCUGGUGCCUCUAUAACCAGCUGGAGGAGUUCAAGGACGACAGCCAUGUCUCCAUGCCCUCUUACUUCCGCUUCCUCACACUCAUGGCCUUCCAUGUCUUCCUCCAAGAGAAGGUGGACCUGGCAGUGGUGGAGGUGGGCAUUGGCGGGGCUUUUGACUGCACCAACAUCAUCAGAAAGCCAGUGGUGUGUGGAGUCUCCUCUCUUGGCAUUGACCACACCAGUCUACUAGGAGAUACAGUGGAGAAAAUAGCAUGGCAGAAAGGGGGCAUCUUUAAGCCUGGUGUCCCUGCCUUCACUGUGGUGCAGCCAGAAGGUCCCCUGGCUGUGCUGAGGGAUCGAGCCCAGCAGAUUGGAUGCCCGUUGUACCUGUGUCCGCCAUUGGAAGCCCUGGAGGAGGUUGGACUGCCAUUGAGCCUGGGUCUGGAGGGAGCACACCAGCGGUCUAAUGCUGCCUUGGCCUUGCAGCUGGCCCACUGUUGGCUGGAGCGGCAGGACCACCAAGACAUCCAGGAGCUGAAGGUAUCCAGGCCAAGCAUACGGUGGCAGCUGCCCCUGGCACCUGUGUUCCGCCCUACCCCUCACAUGAGGCGUGGGCUUCGGGACACAGUGUGGCCUGGCCGGACACAGAUACUCCAGCGGGGACCCCUUACCUGGUACCUGGAUGGCGCCCAUACCACCAGCAGUGUGCAGGCCUGUGUGCACUGGUACCGCCAGUCAUUGGAGCGCAGCAAACGCACCGAUGGCAGUGAUGCCGCUACAUGGUACAGAUUUGAAAAUGUCCUAAAUGGUGUUUCUACGAUAAAGUCUAUACCCUGGCGCUGGAGAGAUGGCUGUUACAUCGCUGCUCUUACAGAGAACCCACAUGGGUUAGAUUCUGGGGAAAUGGCUGGAAUGGUGUAGGAGGAAGGGCAGAAGGCAUAUCCCACCCAUUUCUUCCUGAUGCAGAGGGUCCGAAGUACACAUCUUGCUCUUCAACUCUACUGGUGACAGGGACUCUGCUGCCCUGCUGAAGCUGCUGCAGCCCUGCCAGUUUGACUACGCUGUCUUCUGCCCCAACGUGACAGAGGUUUCAUCCAUAGGAAAUGCAGACCAGCAGAACUUCACUGUGACUCUGGACCAGGUGCUGCUCCGCUGCCUCCAACACCAGCAGCAUUGGAACGGCCUGGCUGAGAAACAGGCCAGCUCCAACCUCUGGAGCAGCUGCGGCCCAGACCCUGCUGGGCCAGGCUCCCUGCUGCUGGCCCCGCACCCACCUCAGCCUACUAGGACGAGCUCCCUCGUUUUCAGCUGCAUCUCCCACGCCUUGCUGUGGAUCAGCCAAGGCCGGGAUCCCAUCUUUCAGCCCCAGAGCCUUCCAAGGAAUCUUCUCAACCACCCCACAGCCAACAGCGGGGCCAGCAUUCUCCGUGAGGCUGCUGCCAUCCAUGUACUGGUUACAGGAAGCCUGCACCUGGUGGGCGGGGUUCUGAAACUGCUGGAUCCCUCUAUGUCCCAGUAGCCAAGGACCAUCCUACAUCGGUCUGCCUUUCCACAGACUCUUAUACUCAGUGCCUUGUGAUUUCUGCUCUCAGAUUUUUUCGGACUGGCCCAGGGUCCUGGGCUCUUGGUAGAGUGUAGGGAUGGGAGAGGCUCUCUGUACCUCGGCCUCUCCUUCCUCUGGCAGAGACAGCAGGGUGCUUCCCAGAGUCCCCACCAUCGUAGCAGGCUUUCAGCCUGGCCCAUCUCCCUGCUGCCUCCAGGCUCAGGUCCAGCUUACUGUUGCAGCUGCCUGAGCAGCCUGGAUCCUGCCUGAGGUUAGACCAGAGACCUCCUCCUCCCUCCCAAUGCUUUCUGGCAAAAGAGAGGGCCCUUGCCUGGCAUUUGGGGACUGUGUUGCUGGAACUAAUUGAAGCUUUUAAACCCUUUUAUUUUUUAUUUUUUGUAAAUAAAUGACAAAACUUUUGAUUGA
Molecule: RNA transcript, 2422 nt
Organism: Mus musculus (house mouse)
Lineage: Eukaryota; Metazoa; Chordata; Mammalia; Rodentia; Muridae
Gene: Fpgs
Gene name: folylpolyglutamyl synthetase
Exons: 15
Source: RefSeq, marked validated